Molecule: ribosomal RNA, 464 nt
Filed under: uncultured bacterium
Lineage: Bacteria
Description: partial 16S ribosomal RNA
Rfam family: Bacterial small subunit ribosomal RNA
Source: RNAcentral
CUACGGGUUGCAGCAGUGGGGAAUAUUGCACAAUGGGCGCAAGCCUGAUGCAGCCAUGCCGCGUGUAUGAAGAAGGCCUUCGGGUUGUAAAGUACUUUCAGCGGGGAGGAAGGGAGUAAAGUUAAUACCUUUGCUCAUUGACGUUACCCGCAGAAGAAGCACCGGCUAACUCCGUGCCAGCAGCCGCGGUAAUACGGAGGGUGCAAGCGUUAAUCGGAAUUACUGGGCGUAAAGCGCACGCAGGCGGGUUGUUAAGUCAGAUGUGAAAUCCCCGGGCUCAACCUGGGAACUGCAUCUGAUACUGGCAAGCUUGAGUGUCGUAGAGGGGGGUAGAAUUCCAGGUGUAGCGGUGAAAUGCGUAGAGAUCUGGAGGAAUACCGGUGGCGAAGGCGGCCCCCUGGACGAAGACUGACGCUCAGGUGCGAAAGCGUGGGGAGCAAACAGGAUUAGAUACCCCCGUAGUC